CCUACGGGAGGCAGCAGUGGGGAAUAUUGCACAAUGGGGGGAACCCUGAUGCAGCGACGCCGCGUGAGUGAAGAAGUAUUUCGGUAUGUAAAGCUCUGUCAGCAGGGAAGAAGAAAGACGGUACCUGACCAAGAAGCCCCGGCUAACGACGUGCCAGCAGCCGCGGUAAUACGUAGGGGGCAAGCGUUAUCCGGACUUACUGGGUGUAAAGGGAGCGUAGACGGCAGGGCAAGUCCGGAGUGAAAGGCCGGGGCACAACGCCUGGACUGCUCUGGAAACUGUCCGGCUGGAGUGCGGGAGAGGUAAGUGGAAUUCCUGGUGUAGCGGUGAAAUGCGUAGAUAUUAGGAGGAACACCAGUGGCGAAGGCGGCUUACUGGACUGUAACUGACGUUGAGGCUCGAAAGCGUGGGGAGCAAACAGGAUUAGAUACCCUAGUAGUC
This 441-nucleotide ribosomal RNA is filed under the name uncultured bacterium. Its description in RNAcentral is "partial 16S ribosomal RNA". It matches the Rfam family "Bacterial small subunit ribosomal RNA", at positions 338 to 795 of the family's 1533-position model. The record is from RNAcentral.